UCCCCCUAUUUUCUAGAUUACAACUAGAACUAACUAGAACUAGAACUAGAGGAACUAGAACUAGAACUAGAUGAACUAGAACUAGAUCUAGAUGAACUAGAGGUAGAACUAGAAGAACUAGAGGGAUCCUCUCUACUUGGAUGAAGAAUUGAAACCCUAACUUUGAUUCUGUAGAAGAGGUAUGAUCUCCAGGGGCCAGGAGGCCUUGCUUAUAUAGUCUUUUCAGAUGAAUCUGGGCCGUCGGAUCAAACCGACAUUGGUCGUGUGGUUUUUCUUGAAGUAUUAGGUCGGUGGAGCAUGAUCCGCGAAACGUGUCCUGAUUGGGCACUGUAGCUGGGCGGGCGCCCAGGAGAGUUGGGCGGGCGCCCUGCCUCCGAGCCCGAUUUCCUUCCCGUUCGUUCCCGUGGCUUCUAGAGUCUUCUAGAUAAUAGACCCGACGUGUGGGCCUUUCUUCCGUAUUUCCUGAUAACCCCCUGUAGAAAUAGACAAACACCAAAACUUGUAGAAUUCUGUCAGAUAAAACCCUAAGUCUAGGUGUUGGUUGCAUUUAGAUCCUUUUCCAUGAUUAAUUGAUGGUUAAAUAUGAGCAUUAAGGACCGUCAACAAGCUCCCCCAAGCUUAACCUUUGCUCGUCCCUGAGCAAAGAUGAACUCAAGAGUUUCUGCAGUGGUUUCAUAACUUAAAGAUACACAUGCGUUUAAACAAGAUCUCAUCUCUGGUUAGAGUAAACUGUUAAGACUUAAAACUUACUCAUUUACCUUUCACCAUGGGACUUGUAACCGUCACUUCUGUCUUGAGUAGUUAAAAGAUAGAACAGUCUAGUCAAGCGCCAUGUCUCUUGUUCUUCGAUUAACUAUAGCUCUGGAGUUUUUGCAGAUUUUCAAAUAAAACUCAGAGAUUCCUUGUAUGACUCUCUCUAGUCUCUUUUUUGUGGUAUUUCUGGAUGCUUACCAAGGCAGUAAUGGUGUAUACCUUCUCUCAAAGUAUGUGGUAUUUUUGGUAUGAGGCAUAGUGACAUUGCCUUCUCUCUCACCCUACUCUAAUAAGGCUUUUGAUAUCUGGAGCUCAUAGGUGCGAGACAGCUAAUACAUACUUACAAGACAUUUAUUGCAUAGUCAAACCAUGGAUCCAGAAGAACAAGUCAAUAAGUCAAAUCAAGAUGUGCAUGUGUGGCGAAUGAAUGGUGUAUGGUGAUGAUGGUGAUAACGAUGGUGAAAGUCUAAUUCUACUUAUGCUCUUUUGAGGGGAUACAUACCUUUCUUGCUCUUUUGAAACUUUUUGAGGAGAAUGAGAUGCUCUAUAUUUUCUUUUUCUUUCCUCUCAGGUGGGUAUCUUGUACCCCUAAUUCUACUGUCGGACACUUGUCCAUUUUUACCUCUCGUCUCACUUUUUUCUUUCUUUCGAGGUUCCGGGCACUUGCCCCUUUUUAUUUCCUCGUAUUUUUUUUCUAUUUUUUUUAGAGCACUCAUCUCUUGAAAUAAUGUAGCAAGUGGUAGUAACCAAGAUAACUUGAGCAUUUAUUUCACAAGGGAAAAACAGAAAUGUUUUUGGCUAUUCUCUCCCGGAUUAGGAGUAGAAUAUUUUUGGGUGGUUCUAGAGAUGGAAAUGGAUGGAUAUAUGUGGAUGCGUACUUCCAGAGUAGAAGCAACAUGUGUGAGUGAACGUGCAAGUGAAUCUUGAUUUAACCACAUGAGAAGCUCCUAAGGGUCUACAUAGCUUGACCACACUCAAUGCUCAUAAGCAGUAAAAAGUAAAUGUGUGGCUCAUAGUCUAACAAGCAUGUAUGUAUGGCUGUGGUAGGAAUUUAAACUCUCAUCAUACAGGAACUCAUCAUGUGUUAUUUUAAAGAUUUUCAAAGAUGAAAUUCUCCAGAAUUCUAGCAUCUCUAGGAACAGAUAAACAGCAGCUCAACCUUCCCAUAUCGUAUCCGUUAACGACUUAGACUUUAGAUCAAGUACUCUCCCCACAAGUUCAGGUUUAGAGCAAAUCUUAAUUAAUAACAGUCAUGCCUAAACUUGAGAGAGAUUUCAAUUUUGAGAACUAGUCAUGGCAGAGCAACUAUUCAUCAUUUCCAUGUGAGAGCUUAUCAUGAGGGUUCAUAGCUAACUUUAUUUAUUUAUUUAUUUAGCAAACUAAGCAAAGAUAUCUAAGCACAAAAUCUUUAUUUGGGUUUUUAUGAUUAUGCAUCUUUUUAUUAUUUGAGUAAAGUAUAAAUGUGAGUAAAAUACUUAGCUAGAUAAAUGGGGGUGCUCUCCCCCAAGCUGGAUUUUGACGCAAUUUCUUCUAAUGUAGCUAGCAGGCGGCGGAGGUGUAUUUGAAUGUUGGCAGCACCCUGACAGUGAUUAGGAUGUCCUCCGUCUGCUAGUCUUCUUUGAUCCUUGAAUUCUGUGGAGCUCAAAUAGACAACAAAGCUUUGUGGAACUGGUUAAGUGUUAGCAUAAAUAUCUAGCCUUUAUCAUGUUGAGCCUCCUCAAUAAAUGUUACUCUCUUUAGUAGGAUCAUAAAUUUAUUUUUAUAAUUUUAUAUUUAUAGGACAGGAAUAUAUUUAUUUUAUUUUUAUGCCACCACAGUGAAUGUACUUAUGGGUUUUAUGUCAUGAGCAUACUCACAUGGGGCUUACUAUUUUUAACAUUUUUAUUUUCUUUCCAAGAUGAUAUGAACCUGAUUAACUAAGCAAACUAUUUUAAAUAAUUAAAAGGAAAAAGAUAACUACCAAGUUUACCUCUUGGCAAGGCGUUCGGUGUUUUUAAGUCCUCCGAACGGGACUCUCUGCUUUCUCAGUCGUCCUGGGAUUCGCUAGAUGGCGUAGUCAGUGGUUCCGGCGGUGCCUCCUCUUCAUGUAUAACUAUCUUCUCUCUGCACACCUGACUCGGUGCUACGGUCUCCUCAGGACAGUUCUGUUCAAGUUGUUUGUCUUCAGACCUUACCACUUCUCCUUCGUAGUCUGCCCAUCCAUCUUUGAUGAUUUGCCUCCUCUGGUUGCGGUUGCGUCGUCUUCUUCUUGUCCGGACCUGCUUAGAGUCUUCAACUAUAUAGUUAGGGUCAGUUAAAUAGCGGCGUACCUUCUCAGAGGGGAAGUUCAUGUGGAUUUCUCCGGUUCCAAUGUAGAUGAUUGCUUUAACGGUGCUGAGGAACGGUCUUCCAAGGAUGACGGGUGGAUUGUGCUCGUCUUCUCCCAUGUCAAUAACCUUCAAUCUUUCAGAAUGUCUGGAGCUGAAAGUAUGUUGGUUGUAGGAACAUGGUUCCAUGCAGGAGCUGAUAAGUGACUGCGGCCAUUAUGUUGACGUUAGAUCCGGUGUCGUAGAGUGUCUUCUGAAAAGAAUAUCCGUUGAUUGUGCACUCGAUGAUUGGAACACUAGGGUCGUCCUUCUUGAUCAAGAAAGGCGACUUGAGUUGACGAUCUUGACCUCCUUGAGCUGCAGUGACCAUCUUAGCUGACUCAGUCCACAUUUGCUUGUUCCUGUUCCCCCUGUUGAUCAUCUCCCUUGGUUUAUGUCAGGAAUGCUCUGAGAUUUGUGUAGUCUUGUUUUUGAAGGAAAACGUCUCCUUCCUCCCCUUGAUGUAGAAACUAAUCUUGGCAGCACUAGCGUAGAUGACAGCUCCCGAGGUGUUCAGGAAUGGCCUCCCUAGGAUGAUGGGUGCCCUCUCAUCAGUAUCAGUCUCUAUCACCACGAAGUCUGCUGGAGCGUAUAAGGUACAAACUCGGACGUAGAGGUUCUUCAAUAUUCCCUUUGGGAAACUUAGCGUAUGAUCUGCAAGCUGCAAACACAUGGCUGUCUCUAAUAAAGGAUGUGUAAAUAAUUUUUCAUAGAGUACCCUGGGCGUAAUGUUGACACUGGAGCCAAAGUCGCAGAGUGCUUCUAGGAAGUCCACCAUGCCGAUGGAGAUCGGGAUGACGGGGCGUCCUGGAUUGUCUCUCUUGACCGGCAGAAGGUCAGUAAUUACUUCCACAACGGGGUUACUCCAGUAGUUACGUCCUCAAGCAUCUCAGGGCAGUGAUUGCCUGAGUGUCCAGUGUCUCCAGUGUGUGUGUGCUCAUAGACCUAGGUUCUUCACUUUGGUGGAGUUUGGGAGUUGUAAAACUCCUUCAUAUUUUGCUCAAAGUGUACCUGCUCAUAGAGACAAGGCAGAGAUCAAGUGCAUGGGCCCUGUUGGUGGAAAACACCAACAGAACCAAAAGUGUAUUUGUUCUCCUCUAACCUCAAGCAUAGUGAGCAAGACAAAGUUGAUGGAUAAUAAGAUCAUGAGUGUAGCAUUUAAAACAUUUGUCAGAUAAGAUCGCUCAACCUAAUGGAAAGAUAAUCUAUAUAUACUUAUGUUUUUUAUAUAUAUCUUCCAAAGAUUGAGUGUGCAACCUUUUAGCUCAUAUGAUUAGGAGUGUGGGAUCACAAAGGUGGAAGGACUAAACAUGUUGAAUCGAUUGGGUUGGUUAAUCUAGAGUUGUAAAUCAUACAUGUUUGUCUCUUAUAUUCAUGUGAACGCCAGAACCAAGGAGAAGCUUAUAGAAGUGAUAGUCAAGUACCUUAAGAUGUUACCUUACUUGAAGAGUGAUGGUACAGUAUCACCUUGUGGAAGCUUUCCUCUCUUAGCGGUUGUGCAUCGUGUUUGUGGCACCCUCCAUGGAUCAUCUCUUGUGAGCUAUGCCUUCCUCGUGCAAAUUGUUAAACUUCAUGUGUCUUUCUCUUUGUCUCCAAUGUGAGUUUAUCUCAGGACUUCCCAGGUCGAUAUUGAAAGUUUUCCAGUAGGGGUUAGUCCAACAAAAUAUCCAAUAUCUACUAUAGCAUACUAUCGGCUCAUAGAUCAACCUAGACACCAUGUCUAAUUUGAUUUAGGAGGGAAUUUUAACCUAAGCAUCAUGCUUAAUUUAAAAUCCUUUGGAAGUAAGAUCAUCAUUCCUAAACUAAGCACCAUGCUUAAUUAAGAGAUAAAUGAAACUACUCCAAGCCUAGACAUAUACUAAAGCAAAUAAAGGUAGCAUGAGAGCAUUUAUAGAGAUCUACUCAAGUGAAGAUGAAGUAGUGUGAUUAGUAUUUAACAGAUUGAGCAUGUCUCAAAGGUAGGGACAACCAACGUAGCAACAUGGCAAAUGAUGUUUUUAUGUAAAGUACUCCCCCAAGCUUGAAUUUUGCAAAAUUCAAGUUUGGAUGAAUUUAAUUCAAUGUUGUAUGAUGAUUGGUUGGACAUACCUUGUGCUUGUCAUUCAUCCGAUCUUCUUGCUCUAAUCCUGAAAAGGUUAGUGACAAGAAUACCCGAAGGAAUUUUUUACAAUUAUCCUUAUAUGCUCAAUACACAAGGUAAUGUUGUAAAUAAUUAAGAGCUUAUGUUACAAUCUGAUCAGUGCUUGUUUUAGGACACUAAGCUUGUCCUUGGGAAACCAUUAAUUUAUGUCAGAGAAGUGGUUUCCCCUCCAACUCUGACCUAUAUCAAGAUCAACUCAACGAGAUUUGCAAUAUUUAUUAUAGACAUAUGCAUCGACAACCGCCCUUUUAAAGUUUUUAUAAAUAGAAAGGAUGAGAGGAUUCGAGAUCUCGAAUGUGGUGAUGUUGGAAAAACCAAUGGAUUGGGAAGAUGUUGCAUAUGAGCAUGGAGUAAAUGAAGUGGCUAUGAAAUAAAUUCCAUGUUCAUUAAUGCUUAGAGUGAAAUCCAUGUGGUAUGGUGAAAAUGAUAUGGUGAGUGCGGUAAAAAAGGAAAAUAAAAAGGAUACACGGACGACUUGGUUCGAAACUAGCACAGCUACCGUUCCCCGGCAACGGUGCCAGAAAGCUUGUUGGGUAUUUUAAACGCAAACAGAAAAAUCCGCAAGCGCACAGAUACCGAUGUAGCUUUCACCCGGGAGUAUUCCAGAGUAUCGAUUUUCCACAGAGAACGUGAGUGUACUAAUUAAGACCCAAGAUCGCCCAAGGAUAACUAUAUAAUUGUUUUUGGUGGGAAGAGAGGAAGUUUCCUGAGAGUUCUCUAGUUGAUCUAAGAAUCAAGAAUUACUUCAAGAUUAUCUAUUUCGGGACAUCAGAGCACUAACCACGGAAAGAGAUGAGAAGGGGGCUAGAAAGGUCUGACUACGGUCCUACAAACACCGAUCCGAACGUGGUGGAAUACGUCGACCGUUAGGGCUGUCACUACCCUAGGGCUACCACAACAAUCCGUAGGAUUGGGUGCAAUUCCAGGUAAUCACAAGACUAAACACCACGUCUAAUCUAUUAAUUACUACUCUAAUGUUUCAAAGACUAGAGCACUUGAUGCAAGCGGGAAUCCAAUAAAUAACUUGAAUGUAAAUAAAAGUAAUUAGAGAACUCAGGAGUUAUGAGUUGAAGAACCUGGAGAACGAUGAAGAACGAACCAGAUACUGCAAAAGUACAAUGUUGAGGAAGAUCCGACAGAUCCGGCUCCUCCUCCGCUCUCCUCUUCUCUCUCCCUAUUUCUAGAUUACAACUAGAACUAACUAGAACUAGAACUAGAGGAAAUAGAACUAGAACUAGAACUAGAUGAACUAGAACUAGAUCUAGAUGAACUAGAGGUAGAACAAGAAGAACUAGAGGGAUCCUCUCUACUUGGAUGAAGAAUUGAAACUCUAACUUUGAUUCUGUAGAAGAGGUAUUCUCUCUAGGGGCCAGGGGGCCUUGCUUAUAUAGUCUUUUCAGAUGAAUCUGGGCCGUCGGAUCAAACCGAUAUUGAUCGUGUGGUUUUCCUUGAAGUAUUAGGUCGGUGGAGCAUGAUCCGCGAAACGUGUCCUGAUUGGGCACUGUAGCUGGGCGGGCGCCCAGGAGAGUUGGGCGGGCGCCCUGCCUCCGAGCCCGAUUUCCUUCCCGUUUGUUCCCGUGGCUUCUGGAGUCUUCUAGAUAAUAGAAAAUUGCGCGACACGUUAAUAUCUCUAUGUAAACCCGACGUGUGGGCCUUUCUUCCGUAUUUCCUGAUAACCCCCUGCAGAAAUAGACAAACACCAAAACUUGUGGAAUUCUAUCAGAUAAAACCCUAAGUCUAGGUGUUGGUUGCAUUUGGAUCCUUUUCCAUGAUUAAUUGAUGGUUAAAUAUGAGCAUUAAGGACCGUCAACAGGCGGCUAUAUUAGGGUCGGAGUAAUUAACGGGUGCUUAGCGGACCCGUUUGUUUUCUCUCAACAUUAUGCGGAUUAUAUUUCUUUAGUAAAGCCUUAUGUACACUGCAGUGGGUAGACCAAACAAAAUUAAUGCAAAGAAUUAGUAAUAUAUCAUAUAAUCAAUAAAAUAGCAUGCUCAAAUGUUAAAUUUAACUAACUCAGGCAAUGUAGCACACUCAUCCGUAUUUGUUAGUAUGUAGUGCCUUAUUCUCAACAUCUCAGAGUCGUCCAACACCUCAGAACUAUAACCUUUCCUACUGUAGUCAAGGUCACCAAAAACGCUCAAACCAGAUGGUGGUUCAAGCACUGCGGCGCUUUCAUGGCGCUCUGGGCGACUUGGCAUAUCUUUGAAGAACUCAGAACAAAAUGUCAUGCACUCUUCUGUGAUAUAUCCUUCUGCUAUUGAGCCUUCAGGAUGUGCUUUGUUCCUCACAUAACCUUUUACCGUACACAGAUAUCUCUCCACAGGAUACAUCCAUCUAUAGCAUACAGGUCCACCAAGUGAAGCCUCUUCAGCUAGAUGAACUGGCAAAUGUACCAUGAUGUCAAAAAAAGCAGGUGGAAAUAUCAUCUCAAGCCGACAUAGAGUCUCCCUAAUCGAAGUACUCAUGUUAGCAAGCUCCUUUUCAUCUAGCUCCUUUGAACAAAGCAAACUAAAGAACCUACUCAAGUCAUUCAAUGGGACAACAACUUCUUCAGGCACAAUGUUGCAUAGUACUAAUGGUAAAAGUUUCUGGAAUAUAAUAUGAUAAUCAUGAGUUUUCAGACCAGACAACGGACACCGAUUUUGAUCCACACAUCUUCGAAUAUUGGACGCAUACCCAUCAGGCAACUUAACUUCAUGAAGAAAUUUGCAUAAAAGUUUCUUGUCAUCUUUUCCUAAUUUGUACAAAGCAGGUGGUAAGGUGAACUUACCAUUGUCACGCACUGGAUGUUGAUCCAUCCUUAUCCCGAGAUGUUGCAUGUCAAGCCGAGCUUCCUCAUUAUCCUUACUUUUACCUUCUAUGUUUAGCAAAGUGCCCAAUAUGGUCUCACAUAUAUUUUUCUCGAUAUGCAUCACAUCCAAGUUGUGCCUAAUAAGCAAAUUUUUCCAGUACGGAAGCUGAAAGAAAAUACUCUUCUUCCUCCAGUUGUGUCAUCUCUUUUCUUCAUCAUGCUGCUUCCUUUUUCUUGAUUCAGGACCGAAUUGGACUUGAUCAAAACUAUCAUAGUGUUGCAACACCUGUUCUCUAGUUAGUGGUUGUGGUGCCUCCCUAUUUUCUAUCUUGUUGUUGAAGCUGACCUUGUUUUUGUGCCACUUGUGGUCCAUAGGAAAAAACCGACGAUGCCCCAUAUAGCAAUGCUUCCCACCAUGUUUCAACCAUAAGUAUUCUGUUUCCACAUGGCAGUAUGGACAUGCAAACUUACCUUUCGUACUCCAUCCAGAAAGCAUUGCGUAUGCUGGAAAGUCAUUAAUUGUCCAUAGUAGAAUUGCAUGCAAAUCAAAAUUCUUCCUCUCCUUUGCAUCCCAGGUCACGAUACCCUCUUCCCAGAGAACAUUGAGCUCAUCAAUUAAAGGCUGCAAGUAUACAUCAAUGCUAAUGCCAGGAGACCUCGCUCCUGGUAUCAUCAUGGACAACAUCCAAUACGACUGUUUCAAACACAACCAUGGCGGAAGAUUGUAAGGAAUUAAAAUCACAGGCCAUCAACUGUAUGACACAUUCAACAUACCAAACGGAUUGAAUCCAUCAGAUGCUAGACCAAGCCUGACAUUGCGAGGAUCAUUUGAAAACCAUUCAUAGGUUGCAUCCACAUGCUUCCAUGCUUUGGAGUCCGCGGGAUGUCGCAUUUUUCCAUCAACCACCAAUUCAUCCUUAUGCCAACGCAUAUAUGAUGCUCUACUCUCUGACAUAUAUAUCUUUUGGAGCCGUGGAAUCAGUGGGAAGUACCGUAGGAUUUUACGUGGAACACGCUUGUCUGAGCCACAACUACUGCCAACAUCUUGUACCUUUUUAGACUGCCUCCACCUUGACUCAGCUCACCACAUUUUGGGCAAUUAUCCAGGCCCUCAUAUUCUUUCCCUCUAAAUAACACACAAUCAUUAUAGCAUGCAUCUAUCUUUUCAUAAUUUAAACCAAGAUCUCUAACAACCUUUUUGAUCUUCUCCAUACUAUCUGUCAGAUAGUGCCCUUUAGGAAGAAUUAACAAGAACAGCCCAAGCACGAACUCCAUGCAAGCAUUACUACAACCAAACAUGCACUUCAUCUGAAACAUUCUGACAAUGAAAGACACUUGGGUUGCUUCUGUGCAACCUGGAAACAACUCCUUCUUGGCCUCUUGCAACAAUUUAAAGAAUUUCUUUGCCUUCUCAUUUGGAUGUUCCUCGUCGAGUUCUCCACGUAUCUCUCCCCUGAUCAGUGAAUGUAACAUUUCUUGGGUACCAGCCAUAUCAUCAACAUCAUCAUCACCAUCAAUACCUGAACCUUCACAUAUACUUUCCUGCUCUCGGAUGAAGCUUUCAUCAAAACCUUUCCUAAGCAAAUGCUUCUGGACAUCUGACCGUUUUCUGAAUGACAUGGAACGGCAUGCUGAACAUGGACAUGGCGCCGUUCCUCCUUUCGAGUUGCCUCCAAAGGUGCUAUCAAGAAAAUCUGUUAAUCCUUGUUGCCACUCUGCAGAUGCCGUAUCCAGCCGCAUCCAACUACUACCCUCAUGUGACAUUGUUUCCAACACCUGGCAAACACACGCAAAGAUAAAUAAGUACAUGCUACGUAUUGCAAACAAAGUCAAAGUAAAUAGCAAUAUGAUUGAUCGAUUAUAACAACCUACUUCUAACAAUUAAUAUUUUUACCAUAAUAGAAAAUUCGGGCAGCACCUUAUUUAAAUACGCAGCAAGAACAAUAAUAUAAAAAACAAACGAAUGUAUGACAAAAUUAACAUGUACGUACCCUCUAGACUAUAUAUAAAUCUUAUAAUAUAUAUAUGUACUAAUUUAUCUUGCAAAGCAAAAACAAAUCAAGUAAACAUAUUUUCAAUUCAAUUAACAUAUUUCAUAAUUAUCGAGGAUCACUCUAAGAUUCUGACAACUAAAUUAGAAGAAAAAUAUGACUACAUGAGUACUGAUGAGUACUACCAGUCCGAAAUAAUUAAUUUAGUUAAAAACAAUUCAAUGAAAAAAAUACCUACAAGUCAGGACAGAUCGGCUAAUCACCUGGUGACUAUUGACGAACUGAUAGAUGAUUUGAUGCAGAAAUCGGCACAGGGCCGGGGCCUGCUCGAUCACCGCGACAACCUAAGCUUGAUCGGCACAAGGAGCAAGGACGCAGCAGGAGAUGCACCUCCUAGUUAGGGUCAGCAGGAGGAUGCGGCGUCGUCUGGUGCAGAUCAUCAACAGAAGCUGCGCCUCCUUGGUCAGCGGCAGGAUGUCAUGUUGACACAGAUUAGCAGUAGAAGAUGCGCCACCUACGGCCAGCGGGAGUAUGCGGCGUUGCUUCACCUCCUAGGGCCAGCGGGACGAUGCGCGGCGUCGCCUGCCGGUCCCCUCGCCCACGUACGUCGGACCGAAAACAAAAAGAACGAGAAAACAGAUCUUACGUAAAUACAUAUGGAGUCCAAACAUGAUUCGAUAGCAGUAUAAAAGAUUUUAUAUACUAGUCCAUGCAUAUACAAAUAACUAGCCUGGUGGUUAUGCAUGAUGUGAACAAACCCUAGGGCAUAGGUUCAACUCCUCUUACAUGUGCUAUUUUUUUAAUUAACAAUUCACUUUUUAUUUAACCUUACAUCAAACACAAAUCUGUUGCAACAGUACUUCCUAAUUGCAUCCAUAACCAACAUAAUGCAUCGACAAAUCAGUCCUAACGCAACCAACGGUGUCCGAUGCAAUAAUGUCUACUAUUGCAUCCCUUGUUUGAAAUGAUGCGAUAGAUCAUAGCUAUUGCAUCGACACGAAUUAUUAUGGCAUCCAUCUAAUUUUUGAUGCAAUAAGAACGACCUAUUGCAUCAAAUUUCUAAAAUUGAUGCAAUAGCGUCCACCUCUUGCAUUAGAUUUGUAUUUGAUGUAAGAGGCCUUGAUGCAAUAGGUAAAAAUUUAGUAGUGCUGUAUGUGUAAGUCCAGUAAGUGAUAUGGAAUAUGCUGCUGAAAUUUUCACAAAACGAGCCAGACUCACAGAAUUCGAACCAAGGGAAAUGGUAACAUUUGACCUUCCUAGAAGUAGUAUUUGUGAAGUUGACUAUACAGUAAUCAAGUCGAUGUCGAGGUUUUACAUGCUAUUGCGUUACUUAAGAGAGCGCAACCAUUUUGACCUCAAUACCACGACAAAUAAUUACGAGGAUUGCCCACAUUUCUGCAACUGUGAGGAGGAACCAAGGAGGUGUUUUGCCAAGACACCAUGGCAACUGGGAGAUGAUUGGCAUGUAUUCGCUCUAAUAAAUAAAGGGGGUGUUAGUGUCAUUGACGCAUCAUCGUCAACGAUGUGAGAAUGAAGUACAUAGCAUAAGUGCAUUGCGUUUUAUAUAAUUUCGGGUUGUUAAUUUACUAAAAUUAGUUUGUCUUAUUGUGAAGGAUGCAAAUUGUAGACUACUACCCUAAAUAUAUCGAGGUCAUGCCAAAAUCAGCACAUGACCAACGGAUCGGGGUAUGUGAGAUGGAGAUGGACAUGUUUGAUGCUAUACUAAGAUGUUUUAAACAUAGUGACGAUAGGUUGUAUGCUGGAGAAGGAAAUUUGGGGUGGCGUCACUUCUUUGAGACAGACGUUUUGGUAAACUUUUCAUACACCUCAAAUAUUUAUAAAACAUUGUCUGUGGUUAUAGAAAAACAUUAAUUUAUUGCAGCGAAUCCUGAAGGUUGGUACAAGUAGCAUAUGGGUUGGGAAAUAAAUCACUGUCAUUCAUAAUUUUAUGCUGACAGGGUUCAGUUCUUGCGGGGUGGUUUGACAUCAAGAUCCAGGAGUGCGAAACCAGUUCAUAGGUUCGAACAUUACAUAUGGCCUCUACAACUGCACCAUGGUAUGUUAUCGGCUAUUAUAUAUAAAUUAUGUAAAUCAAGAUCAUGGCUUACAAUUAACAACUUUGUAUACAUGACCUGAUAUGUUGUUCCUACAGCCUUUCUUCCUAGUGAUUUUGCAGCAGCGGUGGGUUUGUUUCGCCUGGAACCUCGAUUGCAACAAAAUUGUAGUUUUUGACCCAGCUUGCGAUAAUAGAACAGUAUUAUCAAGACAGAGUAUAUACACGAAGGUAGUAGAUAUGUUAAAAAGCACUCUUACAUGUGUGAUGCCAAUUUUAUACCGGGGAUGGGAUCAUGAUUGGAGUGCAGCCAACAUACUUCAUUUCCCUUGGCGCACAAGAGGAAUGAUAUGGUAAGCUUCUGACACAUCUUCACUUGGUAUAUUUACAAAUAAAUAAAUGAAUUCAUAUAAAUAACAAACUAAAACCAUAGCUAUGAGUAUUGGAAGGUUUAAGGUUAAUGCUUUUUUAUAUAUUGUGACAGUUCAAACCAGACUGGUGUCCUUUGUGCAUACUUCUGCCGAUGUUAUGAUGGGCAACGCCUAAUACAAGAUUUGGAAGAAGUAUUACUUAUCUCUAAAAUGAUCUUGCACUGCUUCAUGAAUGUUUAACCUUUUUGCUUGAACCUUGUAAUUUAUAUUUGUAAAAAAACACAUUGCAGGGGCAAGUGGAUCAGAUCGCAACAGCUUCGUUUGCGGAAGCUAGUGGACUAGUAAAGGCAACAUGAAGAUCUAGAUGUACACAAACGUUGGAAGCGGUAGUGGUGGCUAUAAAGAAGGGCACGAACAUCCUAGUGUUGUCGAAUGAAUGUAAACAAUUUGGCUCAUGAUUCAUCUGGCAAGAUCAAUCAGGAGUUUUUGGAUAUUUUAGAAAAUUUAGACAAAGUUGGUUAUUUAACAGUUAUAUUGUAAUCACUCUACGCUCAUUCUGAGCUGAUCUAUGGCAAGCAGUCACCUACAAAAAGAAAGAGAGGAACAACUGAUUAUGUAUAUCUUGUGCCACUCUUCAUCCUAUGGUUAGUCAAACAAUACAAUGUUAUUACAAUCUACAUGCAUGGUUCUAAUAAUGGUAUGUAGCUGAGUGCCAGUCCUUAAUUCAGAAAAGUAAUGACAUGUUCUGCUUUCAAGCAGAAGACGUAAUAAUGUAUUGAUAUGAGACACCUAAUAAAGCUAGACUGAGAUAGUUAUUACAGCCUGAGAAGACUGAGAUACAACACAAAAGCAGCAGUCCAUUACCUGCUCACAUAACCGAUCAUGGCAAUCUGAAACAACCAGCUUCAAUGAGUGCAAAUCACAGCUGUGUUGAUAUAAUGCAAUCUAUGGUACGGGGAUUUGUAAUAUUAGGACAAUACUGCUGUCGUUCCACGAAAAUUGGUGAAGGUGUGCACCACAAAGAGGAUGUACGGUAUACAAUUAAAUUGAAAGAAUGACCACCAGGUAAUUCAGGAUUCUGAUUCAAACAACAGUUGGUUCAUUCCAAACAAUAUAUAUAUAUAUAUAUAUAUCGCAUUUAUUUUACACGCGCGUGUAGUUACUCUCAUCUAUAUAUCUCUAGAUUUAAGGUGUAUAUGACCGAACGAAAUGUAUAUAGACAAAGUAUAUGAUCAUACUAGACCAUCUAGAGUGAUAUGUAUGUUAAGUAUGCAUGCAUACAUAGAGUAUAUGGUUAUACUUAUUAUAUAUAAUAUAUUAGUGGCAUUUUAGUAAUAUAUUUAAAAUAUAAUUUUUUUAAAAAAAAAAUUCGUGUGGUAAGAUCUAUAGUAUCUUAAUAUGAGUAUAUAAACAUACUCAAACCGAUAAACAAGUAUGAAUACAUACAAAAUGUAGUUUAUUAAAGAUGAGAGUAACUACACGUACGUGUACAAAGGAAUUUUCUAUAUAUAUAUAUAUAUAUAUAUAUGGGUAGGUUCAUUUUUAUGCAAGGAGGGGAUUUAGGGGGGGUGAUUGUUCGCAAUUUGUCAUAUACAAAUAUAGAAAUAAUAAGUAUUCCGAACUUGUUUUAGUUCAUGACAAAAGCUAAUGCCGCUACCAUUACAAACUCCAAGUGCGAGAUAAUGGCCAAAAGCUGAAGCGACUGCCAAUCAGAGCAUCACACUAAGGUUGCUGCUAUUCAAGAUCAAUGUCGUGCAGGCUUGUUUGGUUUUGCUGACGCCUAAGGAGGAGAGAACAAACGGACCACUUGAAUGUAACAUCAAGACGCUGCAGCAAGAAAAACACAUAAUUUUAAGUAAUAUUAAUGAUUUAUUCUGAAGUAUGACAAAUAUGUGGUGAGGUGUAUCUCAGUAUAGCUUCUAACUCACACACCUUCCUCGGGGGUCCACGAUAAGAUAAUGUAGAAAUUUCCUUUGACAAAUCUCGAACCAUACAAUCCCCGUCAAAAAGGAAGGCAAACAUUGAAACAAGGAUAGCUUGGUGGUCCGUCGAACUGAAGAGCAGAGAUUAAAAAAACAAUUUAAAAAUGUAAUUAAAAAUCAUGUAACAGAAAGCAAUAUGCUAGUUGAUGUUAACAUAUGAAUUCCAAAACAUGAAGAACAAGUUUUGUCUUUCAUUUGACAUGUACUUUGUUUUGAAUGAAAUCAGGACUGCUGAUGUUGAUUGUGUUGUUAUACAUGUGUAAGCAUUAUGUGCGCUAAUAACCUUAGUUUUUGAGAAAUAUGGGCUACUAUGAUAUACUGGAAUCGGAAGUAUAUAUUGGUCAGCUGCUGUGCGUAUGUUGUCAAGUGUGAGCUGCAGAAAAAGCAGGUUCUGGGUGCGGAGAUUUCACACUACACAUGUCUGAAAACUGACAGUGAUAGAAUAAGAAUCAUUCUCAGCUCAUAUUGUCUGAUUUCAGAAACUGAGUCAAUAGUAAACAUAUAAAAGUGGCAGAAACAACAUAAUAAACCUGUACAUUUCAAUGGGACUAUGCACAUACAAAAUAUAUUUUUGGAAGUCAGUAUCGCAUGAGAUUGUGAUUGGACCUUUGCAUUUUCUCAACCCAGAGACCUGAUCAUAUAACUCUGUAACUAAACCCUAUCUAAUCUGCUCACUUAAUCACCAUCAUUAAAUAAUUUAGCUAACACAGGGCAACUUGUAACAAAAAUAUAAUUCGAACCAAGAGAAACAGUAACAUUACAACUAUCAAAUUUUACUGACCUCAGAUCUAGUGAGCCACCCCAUUGAAAGAUCUGAAAUGACCACUUAUCCACAGUUGGGAAAGCAAAAGAUGAUGACGAGCCCAACAGCGAAAGCAUGGUCCUCAGGAACCUGUCUGAUGCCUUCCUAAGUUGCGUCUCAACAAUGUAGCUUGGGGAAUGUAUAGAGUGUGGCUGAAAUGCGUAAUCUUAAAUUCCCUCAUGUUUACAGCAAAACACGUCCAAGAACCUCCCACUUUUGUAGGUGCAAAGCACUGCAUUUAAUAAUGUAUAUUACGUAAGCUAAUAACAAAAAUAAUUAUCGGUUGUAAUUACUAUUAUUUCUAAUAAUGGUUUAGAGAGACAUCAAAGUACAAUGUGAGAAUGCAAUAAAAUUAUUACACAAAAGAAAAAACUAACCAAUUCACAUUGAGCAGGAUCAAAGCAGAGAUAUGGUGAUCGAAAUAGAGGAUAGAAUUCGCGAGGCUUGAUUAUAGUUUCAGCAGACAUACAUGCAGCCUUCAGUUAAUGUAAUGUGUAUUACACAGCACCAAACAUGUUGCAAAAAACUCGAUUAGAUCUUUAAUUUAAUGAUAACAAUGUACAAUAGCAGUGAAGGAUGCCCACGGUGAACCUUGGAUCAACAAAAAAUCUCCACCGUGAGCCUUGAUAAUUCAGGUACAGAUGAUCAUCAAGUUCUUUGAACAAUGCUAUUAUAACAGCCAUCAUCUUGGUGGAGUACGAUACACCUUGCACAAAAUGUUUGAUGAUUUCUUCCCCUCUUAUUUCAAUGGUAACUGGAGAAUCAAACCGAACCCAUACCCUGUUGAAACAGAUUUAGAUGGAAAUAUAUUAGAUAUUGACGAUUUAUUAGGCAUAGUACGCACUAGAUUAAAGUGAUAAAUAGCUAUUCUUAUCUGCUCUGCUUAUUUCUUUUGUUCCUAGAGUCGUCAUCAGCAGUAUGGCCUGUGUGUCGGUGGGGAAAAGUGACAUACUCAUGAGAUCAAAUGGUUUCUUAACUCGUUUUUGUUUCUUGCCGUCAAUGCGUGUGUUGCCAUCAGUAUUGUCAAUUCGAUUAGUAGUGAAAAUUUCGUGAGUUCUCAAUCCUAUGAAGCAUACAUGUAAAUUGUGUUGUCAAAACUGAACAAAAUACAAAACACAGACACAUAGAUUACACCAAAUAUUGCUAUGGAGAUACAUCUGGGUAAUUAUACUUACUUUUACUGCUCACAGGUCCCUCUACGAAAUCGAUCACAUCAACAAGCAUGUUCAACCCAGGAGUUCCUAAGACAGUAUAAUAUGGAUAAUGCUAAACAAGGAUGUAGAUAUAAAAUAUAAUUUAGUCUUACAAACAAAUAAAAGUAGAGACCUUGCUGAGAUUUGGCUCGCCCGCAAUAAUGCUCUCCUUGUUGGGAUCCAGAUUUAUCAUUAAACAGGAGGACCAACAUAUGACUUCAUCGUUUCAGGUGUGUGAGUAGAUGAUGGUGAGGUGAAACAAUCUACACAAGCAAUCCAAAAUAUGAAAAUGGAAGCUUGCAAUUUAUAAAUGAGUAAACUAAUUAGAAUGCAAUGAUUACUUAUACAGAAAUAAGUAAUCGAUCUUUUCUGCAGUACUAGUGUAUUUAACUAGUGAAAUCUAAAUUUGAACUGUAGUAAAAUUGGUUGAAUCAACUAAAUAUGGUUAAUAUAAACAACAAAAGUUAUAUCUCUCCUAUCGGUGAGUUGUUUACUGAGUCUGAAAAGAAUAUCAGAACUAAACAAUAAUUAUUGAUUUAUGUUGGGCUUGCAGUGGUGUAGUAUAUAUUCUAGGUUAAUAGUUACUUGAUGUAAUUAUUAUAUUAGAAGGUAUUUAAAUCCAUAUAAAUUUGUAUAUUAGAAUAAUAAACUUCAAAGUUACUGAUCAUUAUAUAAAUUUGAGGAGACAUUUAUUCAUUUAAUUCAUUUUUGUUACAUUUAAAAUUGCUGAGAGUGCAGGUCAAAUUACAAACCAUUAAUUGAAGCAAACUUCCCUAAAAGUUUGUUGCGGUCAAUUGGAGCUGCGAUAUUUGUCUUAGCUCAUUAGAUAUACUUAUGAAUACUUCUAUAUUUCCCAGAGCUGUCAUGCUUGUGCGAGGAAAAGGAUGGUUGAUAAGGUUGAAAUUUGGAUGCAACAACAAUGUUUUUCUUUGACAUGCUUCCGGAUAUUGGGCAGGAUGUAUCUGAAAAACACAUCACUCAAAAUAUCAUUGAUAUGGAAGUGAACAUAAAUUAAUCAUCUGCAGUAAUAUAGAACGUUAGUGGAAAAAAGAAUAUAACAAGGCGUUUAGGGGUUUCAAACUACCAGCGCGCUUGGGGUUAAUUGCACCUUGUGUGGUGUGGAGAGCAAUUGAGGGAGGGAUCUCUCGAGUUGUCUCUCCAUCAACCAGUCCUUCCGUAACUGUGUUACUUGAGAUUCAAGUGCAGUAUAUAGAAGCUUUUGAUUGCCCUGUUUAUAAGAUUCAAAUGAAUGUUGGCAUGAUGUAAUGCAGCUAAUUAAUCUGUAACAAUGAAUUUUAAUAAAAGAGUGUCUCAAUUUGUAUGAAAUUUAAUUCAUUUGGAUUAGUUAAUACAUGAUUUCAUAAUAAACCUUAAUAUUUGAUAUAAGCAUAUGGCUAGAUGUAGCUAUUUGUGUUCGUAUAAAGUAUAAUGCAAAAGUACAUAUCUAUUGAGCAUAAAGGGAACAUACUGAAAUGGAACGAGGACUGUCUCCAGUCAGCUUGGACUGCAUCCACAUAACCUCCUUCAUUACUAACCGCAAGAUCUCACGAAAUGGUUUCUCCACAAUAUUAUGCAUCUCAGAUUCCUAACACAUUACAGACAAAAAACUUCAAACUCCAGAGUUUGUAAACAAUUAUGUGACCAACACUUCAUGAUACUAAAUUCAUAGAAAUUGAUUAAAAAUUACUCACACCGACAGACAGCGGCACCAUCCUCACAACUGAAGUAGAAAGAGGAGUGUUGCAUAUACUCUGCUUCUGCCUGGGCUGCUGCUUCAUUAGAUAAAAUUCAAAUGUGAAUAUAGAAGCACACAAAAAAUAAAAAUAAAAACAUAGCGACUUCAUUUGUUGUCUUCACAGAGUGUGGUGUAAAUCAAACUGACUCACCGAAGAUCUUGUUAAGAUACUACUACGGCGUGCUGCUCUAUGUUCUGCGUCAUUAGCUAUUUUAUUUAUAGUCGAUAUAAGUGCAUUGCAGUCGAGCUGUGUUCAGAAAUUAAUUGUGUUAGCAGUCAUACAAGGAUUAUCAACAAAGCAGUCGAGCUGUGUUAAUACACUCAUUGCGAUAGAUGUCAUAUAAUGGCGUGGGGAAAAUGAUGGUUUUAUUUUAAGAAUUGAGUGUGCUUUAAAAUUAUCACUUAGAGCAAUUAAGAAUCUUGUCUAUAGAAAAAUUGCCCUGCACAAGCACAACCGAUCAGUAGCACAUAAUGGAUGGUUACGUCUACUGACAAGAACUGCAACGGUAUGCAUAACCAGAGGAGGAGGUGAAGACAUCUACUGCUACUACUGCAUCUACUCAAUUGAGACUUGCAAGUCAAAAUACAUCUACUGCUACUACUGCAUAUUGUUGAAAAGCAGAUGGAUGGAUACAUCUACUGACAAACAAUGCAACGGUAUGCACAACCAGAGGAGGCAGUGCAAAAACAUCUACUGCUACUACUGCAUCUACUUACUUGAGACUUGCAAGUCAAAAUAUUCCAACUAGGUGAUUUCUUCUUCCUUUCAUCGUCAGAUUUCUCGAGUGCCUUCAGUUCUUUGGUUGUAAAAUAAGCAAUCAGGGGCUUCCCAGAUUCAUGUACAGAAAAUGUGACACCAAUGCACCGAGUGUAAAAGAAUAGCUGAGACAAAAUAGAAAAUAGUGAGGCUUACAACAAGUUAGUGCAGAUGGAAAACAAAAGCCAAUGGGCUAGUUAUACAAAUGUGAGAUUAAUUACCAUCAAUGCUAAUGAUUAAACAGAUAAUGCGUUUUGUCAGAAUUACUUGGACAAACUAAUUUGUUGUGAUUUUAUAUCUAUCUUAAUUACAUACUAACCAACAUAUUAACUAUCAAACCAUCUAACCGAGAUAGAUUGCCAAUUGGUAGUUGCAAAUCACAAUCAAUCGUAUUCAUAAACAUUUAUACAAUUCUAAAUCAUUUCAGAACUUGUCAACUUGCCAGAAGAAAGUGGGUGCAGCCAGCCAGGUUGAUCUUGCCACCGGACAACCACUAUGAAGCUGACCACGCACUUUGGCAGCGGUUUGUGACAGCUUCGCAAGUACAUAGCCUUGCCAAUCAUAAGAAUCGAUCAUAUAUUUUCCACUUAUUGUCAACAACACAGAUUCUUCCACCUCUGUGGUAUUACGAUCUGAUGGGUCCAGGAAGGUGCCAACUGUAUAUAUCAUGAUUGCAGCUAAGAAGGCGCUUUUCUGCUCUGGUGUCAUCUGGUCCUUAAUAACGUCCUGAGCUUUUUUUAAGUUAGAAUUGAGGCUGAUUGGCCCAAAUAUGAUUUCUGACUUUCUCAUGGAGCGGGAAGAUCCCACACCAAGAAAAUUAGAUCCCUUCACAGAGUUCCCACUGCCAGGGAUUCCAAGUAUUUCCUUGAGGUCGGCCUUGGAAACCUGAUGGUAUCCAUGGCCAUGGAACACCAGACGACCUUGGCGAUAACUCAGAUGAGCCAAGAGCCAGAUAGCAAAGUUGCGGUCGGUUCUUUAUGUCACCGGGUAAUGGAGAGCAAAUGAAAAUCCAGCACCUCGGAUUAGCUCUUUUUGUUCAUUGGUGAAGAUGUCCCUGACCUCAACGAGGAAGUUGGUGGAUAGGUUGGAAUUGAUUCUAAGCUGGCUGAUUGGUGCUGUUAAAAGCCGGGGAUUAGAAGAGGCGCAUCUAGCAUUCUUGCGGGUAGAUGAUGUGAAAUCAGAGUCGCCUUGCGAAUCUGAUGAGAUGGAGACGGGAGCGACUGCAGGGGGGUGGUUGUUGCGCCAUGGUAUGCAAUGGCGGAUUUGGGGGGAAGCUUGAGGAGACAGGGACAAAAUGGAUCUAGUUCGAGCGGAGAAUACAGAAGCUACGUCAUGGAUGGGACUGAGAUUGGUUCCGGAUGAGAGCAAGUAGGAGCUAGUAGCCUACUUGUAGAGCCUUUGAGUGUAUCAUUCCUGCAGGUGGGUACAGUGGUUUCUAGAUUCCUACCUUCGACUCAAAUGAACAGUAGAUACUGCACGGUCGGUCAUCACGGGCUCCACUGUAUGAGCGAUCCGUCGCAAUGCUUGUCAGCAAGAAGCAUACAUGUUGCACGCUACAAGGCGUACAUAUGAGCGUGGCAUCGAACUCCUAUGAACUGGGUUGAACAGUAGGGGACCAGCGGUCCGACUUCAACGACCAAACGAACAAACCAACAAGACGACACUGCCUCGAAGGUGCUUGCCUGCGACUGAAUCAUACAUGUUGUCCGUUUAGGGCUGUACAUGUGUGCAAGUCUGGUUUCGAGAGCGGUGGGAAAGGUGGAAAAUAGACUGAAAAAACCCUACAGAGCGCUAGCCUAGGCAAUUCUUUUCAUUUUUUGAAUGCUAGCGGCGGGGACCAGAUUAGACAAUACAGCGGCAAAACCAAAUCAACGUGCAAUUGCUGCUUACACGGUCUGGUGAGAGCAGACUCUGGCCUGAUAGUACAAAUAUACAUAGGCCUUGUUUAGAUACAUCCAAAAACCCAAAACUUUACAAGAUUCUCCAUCACAUCGAAUUUUACGGCACAUACAUGGAACAUUAAAUGUAAAUAAAAAAGAUAACUAAUUGCACAGUUUACUUGUAAAUCACGAGAUGAAUCUUUUAAGCCUAGUUACUCCAUGAUUGAAUAAUGUUUAUCAAAUAAAAACGAAAGUGCUACAGUGUCAAAAUCCACAAAGUUUUUGGAUCUAAACAAGGCCAUAAUCUUUUAAUAUAUUGCUCCUACCAUUGAAUUUAUGAAUUAAAAUGGCUAAAUCUAUACUCCCUCCGUCCCAAAAAGAGUGUCAUUUUAGGUUUUUGUUUCAUAAGUUUGACUCCUUUUGUAAAAAAAUAUAUGUAAUAUUUGUAUCUCUAAAUAAAUUUAUUAAAAAUCUAGAUUUAAAGGUCUUUCCAAUGAUAGUAAUUAUAUACUUAUAAAUAUUAAUAAUUUUUCUAUAUAUUUAGUUAAAGUUAUUUCUCAAGACGCGCAAACGAGACUUAUUUUGAGACUGAGGGAGUAGAUCAUAGCUCAAAAUUGGAGGCUUAUUUGUCCUUUGAGUAGCAUUCUAUCGUUUUAUAAAAUCGUCAGUAACUAUGCAUUUCCUAUAAUUGACCAUCUAAAAGAAUAUAUGAAUAAAUAUGUUUUUAAUAUAAGUUGAAUAAAAUAUGUAAAUAUCGCAUUUCAUUACUUAACUUUGAAAUAAUGUAUUUGGUUGAAAUAUAAAACUAUGCUUCAUUAUAUAGUAUGAUCACUGCAUUCGCAAAACAGUGAGACGACAUUAAUUUUGAAAGAAACCGGACCAAGUAACACUCCCCUGGAAUAUUACAAUGACUCACUGCAUUUAUUAAGAAGUUUACAUAGUUGGAACCGGAUCCAAGUAAAUGAGCAUACGCCAAGGGAUUAAAAUGUAUUUUAUAAGGGCACUUCCAAUGUUAGAAACUAUAUAUAGUUUCUAUAUAUAUAUUUUCUAUAGACACUAUAUAUAUAUAGAAACUAUGGUUACAAAACAAUGGAUAGUUUCUAUACAAUAAAUUUUUAUCCUAUCACAUUCAUUCUCUCUCAAUUCUAAACCAAUCAUAUCACUUCAUGUUUUGGAUUUCGUGUAGGUAUGGUUUCUAACUUAGACCCAUUUUCUAUGAUUUUUGUACUCUCUAUUCAAUAACUACCUUGUCACAUCAGCAAAAUGCUUAGAUGGCACCAUAUUUAAUGUCUAUAGAAACUAUGGUGGUUUCUGCAUUGGGAGUGCCCUAAAAUAAGUUGUCUCAUACUUGUCUCAAAAACACUAUCUCUUUCCUAGUCUUUUUCAGAACACUUGCUAUUUGAACAUGCCACUACUACUGCAUCCGUGUCUGCCUAAGCGCUAGAUGAGAGCCAAUCUAUCAUCCCUAUCCUCUUUACCAACAAUUGCUUGACUAUAUACUUGCUAUAACAAAAGAGGCUUCGGUGCCAAGCAUCUUUUAAUGAGGAUGAGCUAAACCCAAAGGACACUCCCCUAGUAUAACAUUUAGUAGACCAUCCGUACCGGUAAAUGUUUAUUACCACUAUAGUGGAGUAUCUUGCGAAAAUACAUAUAUAUAUAUAUAUAGAUGGUAGCGCUAUUCUACACUUUUGGUGUAGAAUAUUAUUCUACACCGCAAGUCAAAACUGAGCAGAAAAAAUACUGAGCAACGUUCAGUAUCAUCCAGUCGUACGCUCAGGACUACGAAAUACUGAACAAUACUGAAAUACGGGUACUGAACAAUACUGAAUUUUGUUCAAUAUAACACUUUGGUGUAGAAUAGUAUUCUACACCUAGGGUGUAGAAUAGCACUUGUAUAUAUAUAGAUAUAUUAGUACAUCUAUUUGAGAUACUAUUUUUAUAAAACCACUCUAUAAAUUAUAUAUUGAAAAAUAUAUCAAUUUAUCUAUAGGGAAAUUGAGCAGGAAUUACAUAUUACUAAGAGUAACUCCAGUCCACCUCCUAAACAAGUCCUUAUUCUAAAUCUAGGGACUUGAUCUAAAAAAAUAAACUCCAACCCACCUCCUACUUGGGCUCCCAUUUUCUAUGCCCUCCUAAAUUAUAGUUACAGCCCCUCACAUCCAGAACCCCCUAUCCAGUGGGUCCCAUCCACCUCCGUCUCCCCACCCAUAAAUCAAGACAAGAAUUACAAAUGGUGUAGUUGAUGUAGGAUUUGACAAUAACAGUGGGUCGAGAUAAGGACUUGGUCUGUUUUUUCCAGAGUUAGGUCUUAAUUUGAGCUCCUAUUUUUUUAUCAUAGCCUGUAAAAAUAAGUUUAAGAGCUUAAUUUAGGGACUUGGUAUGGAGUUGCUCUAACACUUUUAAGUGAUUCUCUAAACAACUCAAUGUCUAUGCUAAUUUAUGAGAAGUGUUUGAAUUUGUAGACUGCACCCGACAUGUGGCGAGAGAUGGAGUUCCAGACUUGGAGUCAAUGAAGGAUUUGCAUACAAAAGAGGGAACAUGUUUCGGCGGCUACAGUUCAUGGUUUACUACGUACAAAGGACAGCACGACCGGCAGACCCACCUGACACUAGUCACGUCCUGACUUUGAUUCCCAAUGACAAAUAUACACAUGUCAAAAACGACCCCAGCAAAAUGAUGCAAAAAUCUGGCAGUGCAGAAUUGUAAUUUACAAAAAAACUAUCAAUUUAAAACAGUUGUACGUUUGUUUUUUUACUGUUAUUUUCAAGCUUGCACUGAUUAAUCUAAAAACAGAUUCAUCACGAAAAAUUCAUACUUUUUUUGGAUGGUUUAUCAAUUCCUAUUUAUAAUUUUACCUAUAACUAACUUUUGCACAAAUAGCUACUACACUAUAAUAGCACUCACAAUACAAAACUCUAUAAAAGAUUAAUUACAUAUUAUUUAUGAUAUUUUGAUGGUGUGGCGGCAUAUUUAUUUAAGAAAAAAAGAAAUAUAAAAAGUAAUACUCCAAGUAUUAUUUAGACUCAAAUUUUAUCUAUAAGUGGGUCAAUAAGUAACUUUAAACUAUAUGAUAGAGUCUGCAUUAUGAAUGCCCUUAAGAGCAAAAGGGAAAAACUUGCUCAGCGCAUAUAGAUAAGUUAACUUUGAAAUCCGAUCCAUACAGGUCGUAAAGGAACCGACUUAAAUCUUGCAGUACAAGCGCUACAGUGCUUCUAGCGACAUAUAUAAGAAAGGCCAGAUUGGUAGCGGGAAAGGGGUCAAACGCGAUACAGCCUCGUGCAGAAUAGAAUAGAGAACUCAGCAACAACUACGAGUUUGGCCACAUCGCUGCUGAGAGUACGAAGUAACUAGGAACAAGCCAUGGCAGCUGAAGGGAGAGGGGGGGGGGGGGGGGGGGGGGAAGGGGAGCGCGAAAAAGAGGCAUUACGACGUGACAUCGCAGCUGGUGAACUUGAGACGCCAAGUUCCCCGGCGCAUCCUUGCAGACCUGAACGAAAAAUUGUCCAUGGACGAGGCAAGUCAACAAACCUUCUACUUACUACUAGGUGAAAUGCCCGUGCGUUGCAACGGGACAAUGAUCUUUUUUACACGUACAUUUCAUAUUAACAAAAUAUGACCCAACAUUUUAUAUUAACGGUUUUCAAGAUACAUCAUACAUUCCAAAUUCAAAUCAUGUAUCAAGAGCAUGAAAAAGCAAUCGUUCCCUUCUCUUCUCAUCUAUGAGAAAGUGUUACCGAUUCCAAAAAUAGUAGCUCACACAAAAGUUUUCAAUUAGGGACAUUUGUUGUUGAAAAAUCUCAGUCUAGGAAAGACUACGUACCAAAGAAUAGUUGCUUCACAAUAGGAUUCUGAAAUUACAACAGGAUUCGGAAAUCAACCAGAACCCUCUCAUAUGGCUAAAAAUGCAUGUAGUCAAGAGAAAACUAAUUACCUAAUUGAUUACAAAAUCAAGCAGCAAAAGGAGAUUAAAUAGAAAACUGUUGUUCAUCUGUUUAAGGGUAAACAUCACCAAAUGUUGAAACUUGUGUGUUUGACAGUCCACUCCAUCCAGGCACCUGUGAAGAAGAUACCCACGACAUUACAAAGAACAAAAAUUUAUGUUCUGCGGCUCUAGAAGGGAAUACUGAGAAACAUCAAACCUAGAAACCAAGCAUGCGUAUUGGGUCAGCGAAUAAGUUUUUCAUAUGGAUUGCUAAGGGCGACAGUGAUUUUUUUCGAGGGAAACAGGAGUAGUGAUCCCUUACUGGGCUUUUACUGCACAAGACAUCAACAAAGACAGUUGGUAACAAUGACCUAACAGAGUUUACCAUUAUUUUGUAAAAUUGUACCAAUAAGCAAGUAACUCACGGUCCAUUGAAUCAUUAGCAAAGCCGAUAAGUGAACAAAACCGAUAUACACUAUGGCAGUGAUGCAUGCCAGACAUGACAGAGUACUGGUGGCAACACAAGAUACUUGUUCCAUCAAAUUGUGAACAACCAAAGCUGGCUAAGAUAAACCAUGGGCAAAAGUUACACCCUGCAACCCACUUAGCAUUGGUGCUCUAAACAGGCCAGCUCUUAUCUACAGAUGGAUACCAAGAUGACAUAUGAAGAGAACUCUUAUGAUACUAUCUAACGUAUUUAUUAUAACUAUAGAAUUUUAUCGGAUAACCGAAAUAAACAACUAACACAACUCCGGGUACCUUCUUCUCACUCAUGAUCCAAUAAUUAGCAGGCUCUUAAGUUCUCAUUUAGCAUGAAUGGCUUGUACUACUGAUGCAUACCGGUCCUUAUCCUUAUUCAGGGACAACCAUUUCAGCUGAGCACUUGGAUUCAGGAGUUCGUACCUAAAUCUGUGCAGACCAAAAAGAAGAGGUAAAACAGGAUCAUUCAAGUGCAUAAUUACAAAAUAGACAUAGAUCACCCAUAUUUAAAUAUUUAAUAGAAAUGAGUAGUUGGUUAAGUCUCCAUAAAAACGAUACACAUCCAAAAACUUGUUUUAAAUUUACAGACAAUAUAAAAUUGUCAUUUCAUAAUAGCAAAGUAAUGCUUUCCAAACCCAUUUGUGCUAAAACCACAGGCAUACAACACAUCCCUAGAUAACAGCUAGUAGGCCGCUCACAAUUUGUUAUUUCAUCCAGGCCACAAGGCAUGCGAAAAUCUUAAAUAAAUGAAAUGCACUUGUCGACAGGAAUGAUUCUUGAAUGGUUCUUCAGUUUCUAAGUUGCUAAGACUAUGGAUGUGGUAGAAGAAAGGCAUAGAAAAACUGGAAGUCUCUACUUGAUAUAGGGGUAUUUAAAAAUGUAAGGAUUCAGUUUAACUUCUGGAGCGAUUCCUAAUAAAUUAGUUAAAAUUAAAAUAAUUCAAUGGUUGUUCCAUGAACUCGUCAGUCGUCGGCAUUGAGCUUAAGCUCUGCUCUGAACCUGCUGGUGAUUUCUAACUACUGAAACAUUCGUCGGCGUUGAGCUUAAGCUCUGCUCUGGUAAUGCUCAGUGCACUAAUGCGUUGCAUAACCCAGUGAUUUCUAACUUAUGACAAAUGUAGUGCAGUCAUGAAUAUUAUUAUUUUUUUCCUCUCAAACACACGGGCAUGAUUAAUAAAACAGAGCAUGAUUAAUCUAUCAUUCAUUGAAGGAAGGAAAAAAGUAAAACAAUCACCGAGGGUGAGAUUCCAUUCAUGCAUCCUGUAACGUGGAUAGAAAAAUCACCAUGUUUGGCAGAACCAUACACGCAUCCACGGACGGCUUCACAACGUUGGCAUCGAAACAAACAAUUGGUGGGCAUGGAAUGGCGGUGGCCAAUGAGUCAUCAUUUGUUCAAUAUUGAUCCGUCACGUUGAUUCUUAUCAAGCAAUUCAGAUGAUUCUUCUUCACAAAAGAGAAAAGACGAAGGAAGGGAGAGAAGAGAUGGAAGAUACCUUGAACGCCUCGUCAGCCGCCGCUCGCUGUUGGCUGCUGCUGUGGAGUGUGGAUUACGGGUGGGAACUGGGAAGGAUCCGUGCCUCGUCAGCCGCGGCGAAGGGCGAGGAGCGAGGGCGGGGAGCGGAGGCCGGGUCCGUGUGCAAGGGCGGGAUGGAGCUAUUGCAGCGGGGGCGGGUGGAACCAGGGUGGCUCAUCGUCGUCGGCCUCAUCCACCUCCAGCUCUGCAUAUGCAGUAUUGAUGGACACGAGCUCUCAGCUCGUCCUCCCACCACCGGAAGGGGUGCGCCUCCAUGGGCGGUAGGCAGUUGGAGCACGAGAGGUUGGGCGUGGUCGAAUCCGUGUGCAAGGGCGCGCGGGGCUGAGCUAUUGCGUCAGGGGCGGCCGUGGGCAUGGGCGGAGUAGGCAGACCGCAGACAUGGGUGCUCGAUCUUUUUUUCUGUGGAGGAUGAGGGCAGGCGACGGGAGAGAGAACAGGUAACCGUCAGACGCCCGCAUGCAACGCGGAGGAGGCAGGCCGUUGGUCUUUUUUUUAGUUGUAGAGAUUUACAGAGCAUAGUUUUUAAGAUGGUACGAUUGACAUUAACUAUGUUUACAAACGGAAAGUCAAUCAAGCUGGAAGUAAAUAUAGAUGAAUCUAAUUGGCAACACGCUGUCAAUAUAUAUGAUUUAUUUAAUUUUGUGCUUCAAUUUUAUAAUUUUAUAUAUAGUUGACCAUCAUUUGAAUUGCGAAUAUUCAUGUUGGUAGAAAUAUUUUGUGGAUGCUCUUUUAAUAUUUUGUGGUUGCUGCGCUUAAAAUAGUUUUUAUUUGCAAGUUUUGAUAACGUGCCCAGAGAAAGAUUUGAAGUUUUUUUAUGAAGAUUAAGUAGUAGUACUUAUGAUCGUGUUUAUAAACGGAGCAUAUAGGGUAAAUGGGCGAGCAUUCCAGAAACGCCUGCCUUGGGAUGUCUGCCAACUACGGGAUGUGCUGGCUCAAUCUCUGCUAGCAGCCAGUGAAAAGUUGAAGCAGCAGACGUGGAGAACGGUGGCUCCACGAGACUGCUGCAGGAAGCAAUCUCCCUGUUUAACAGCAGACGCCAUCUAAGCCAAGUUCUUUUUGCAGACCUCAACGAGACCACGCCGACAUCUGAGGCAAGUUAAAGGCAGAUCUGCAUUUUUUGGAUAAUAUUAUUGACUACUAUCGAUUUUUUUAAAAAUCUCAAAAUAAAGUGGCUCCUAUUAUAGCUGUGUUAAAUUGUUACAUACAUUUAUAUACAUCAUCUAUGUAUGUCCUUUGCCACAUUUAAUUUCAUGACCGAUAAAGAUUUGAUUAAAAUUUAUGAUUUCUUACGAUAUGCCAAAAAUCAGAAAAGAUUGAAAAAUCCAAUAGAGAUAACCUGAUUUGUUUCAACUGUUGACCAACAGAAAAAUGUAAAAAACAAAGUCGGGAUGAUGGGCCUAGAUGUGAUGCAUCCAGCUAAUUGGCAAGGCCAGCAGCCGGCCUUUGCUACGAUCCAUACUAUGGGGCAUGGAGUGAUUCCAGUGGAUGGGGGCGCGGCCCAGCGACCGGCGACGCCAACUGUCUAGACAAUUGGCAAUGGAGUUAUGCCAUCAGCUAAUGCACCAACCCACCAAGAGCACCACAAUGCCACCGCUGAGUUACCAAGUGAGAAAUGUCCUUUGCUAGAUUAUUUCAAAAAUAAUUAUGUGUGUAACUACUUGUCUCACAUUUACACAGUUUACAUAUUACUAUGCUGGUAUUUAAAGGUUAAAAUUAUUAAAAUAUAUAUAAAUGGUUUCUAGGAUAUCAUCAAUGGCGCCCUGUUCAACUCUGUACGCAAUGUCAACAAUUUUCAGAUGCACUACCUACAAACUGGUAGAUCUUUCCUCAAGAUGUUUCAACGCCCAAUAAAAAAUUUCAUGGUAACCAAUAUAAUAAACAAUGUAUUUGGUGAAUAUUUAUUUGGUUUCAUCUAAGGAUGUAAUUUUAUUUUUUAAAAAAUGUAGGCCUUACCACGUGGAUUUGGGAUCAGCAUCAGGGACGAAUUGAUGCCAGUGGUGAAUCUAGUCGGGGACAACUCACUUCCAUAUCCUGUCAAUGUGACAGAUGUGGGGGGGCGCCUCUACUUUACUAAUGGAUGGGAGCAAUUUGUGCUUGCUGAAAGAAUUCAGCCAGAUGAUGUUGGCCUCUUCAUAGUAACUGCUCCUCGAAAGAUAUGCAUGCGCCUCUACUACCGCAGUGGCUUAGAGAAACCAUUGAGCGCACGUGUGGUAGGCGUCGAUCCUGACGUUCCGCCCCCAUCCGGCACAAACAUUUACGGUAACAUUUUUUUAAACAUGUAACACUGAUAAAAUCAAAUCAUAAUACAGUGAGUUGAAUAUAAUAAUCCAAUAUGAAACUACGUCGUGCAGUGCCAUCACACAUCCUUGGGAUGGAGUUCGAACUUGGGCCUAAGCUGUCGAUGACUUCUGCGAUCAUGCAGCAAAUGGCUAACGUCUGGGCAACACGUGUAUGCAACAAUCCACUGUACGCCUGCAAGGUGAUCAAGAGCCACAUACAAAAAAAAAAGGCACUGGUGCGUUGUCUCCAGAAUACAUAAAUAUAUACUACCAUCUGAACUAAAGAAUAACAUAAUUACCAUGGUUUAAAAUUCAUUGCUGUUUGGCAGUACUUUGGCAGCAAGUUCUCAGCAAUGCUACCACAGUCUUAUCGAGCUCCUGCAGCAGUCUUCUAUGGAGAUGGAAACCAAGUGAUCAUAGGUGCCAUCACGAAAAGUGGACAUGAUGGCCUGGCGAGGCUUAGUUCGGGAUUUGGCACACUCGUGAGGGAUCACGGCAUUGAAGAAGGAGACAUCCUUGUCGUCAGAAUGCGUGAGCUUGAGGGUGCCUACCAUAUCAGGAUCUUCAAAGUUCUAGCCUGAAGAUGGAUAGCUGGUGAUGCCUAAGAUCAUGCUGAACUCGAUUUACUACUUCAACACUUGUUCAAAGUAUCAGCCAAUAAUUCGUCUAGUUGCGUCUGUAAACGCUGCAUUGUCUACAAGUAUUACAGUGUGUGUGUGUGCGCUACGAACUUAGCAAUCAAUUGCUUCCUUUUAGUAAUUCUAUUUGUAACAAGACAACAGACCAUAAGUGUCUGUGGACAAGUAGAAAGUAUCGGCCAACUACUGCCUUUUGAUGUUGCUGUUUGAGUAAUAACUAUAUGCCAUUAUAGUAUGUGGUCCAAUAUUUAUCAUGUCAACAAAACCGGAAAAUCCAUUGCACUAAACCCUGAUUUGUGCGCCUCUACUUCCUCUGUCUUAUCAUAAUCAGUGAUGACCUGCGAUACUCUAUAAUUUAGUUGAAUUAUGCUUAUAAACCCUGGUAAAUAUACAAAAUCAAUCGAGAACAAGUAUAGAACUAGGCUGAUUGUCGAAACGUGCAAGUCAGAUGAGUAUAAAAAUCUUUUCAAAAACCAAUAGAGCUAAUAAACAACAAGAGACAACAAUUCACAAAAGAAUAAAAUUUAAAAUGGCCUAAGUAGCUUCGGUAUAAGGAGUGGACCCACUCGUAAUAGAAUGUAAAACCUAGAGACUGAUAAGCUUACAGUGUACACAACUAAACAAUUAAAAGUAAGUGGUCAAACAUAUGUAACUUUUUGCUAUUGGACCCAACACUAUGAGUACGGCGAGUUUAUGGAAAACUUAAGCAUAGUUAAAGAAGUGUCGUUAAUUACAAACUAAAUUAAAUUCACAGUUUUAAUGUACAAACUAAAUUAUAAAACCCAAUAAUGAUGGGAUGAUGAUAAAUAAAAACAUAAUUCAUUUACAUUUAUACAGCAAUGGUUGAGACGCCGUGUAACUCAGGACGACCUGGAAUCUUUAAAAAAAAAAUCAAGUUUUUAUUAACAUGCUGAAAAUAUGAAAAUUCUAAAAUAACCCUAACGAUUGUUACUCAUUACAAAAUGUAUUUUAAUUUCGAAAAAGUGAGAAAUAAACUUGACAAAGGUCCAAGAAAAAAGAGAGAAAUAUUAACCGCCAAAUUUUUCAAAGCUACCGCGCCAUGGUAUUUUGAAUUUCAAAUGAUAGCUGUACUAGGCAACUUUUGCUGAAUAAGACAAAAAUAAUAAAAAAAUAAGUAGAUAAAAAGAAAAAACCUUGAUGAAUUUAAUGCUUACUAGGCUAUAAAAAUAGAAUCUGGAAGACGGUUGUGUAUAUUCACAAUAGAAUCCCCAAAACAUGCUCCUAUUGUGGCAUAGUUACAUAUAGAAGAGUAUGGAUCUGCCGACGGCGACUUGCGAGCUUGUAAUGAAGCCCCAUGGAAGGGUUGCUGGAGAUCAAGAUGUCGCCAUGACACCCUGCAAAGUGGCUAAAGCCCUGCCAUUGCCAAUUUGCGGCCCCAACAGGCUUAAGGUGACCAUUAAACAACUAAUCGAUGCGUCAAAGAAGCCGACUCACUUGGGUCGCCUGAUGAUUGGAGGAUCAAUGGUUCACACGGUAAUCUACCAAUAAAAACACCAUAGGCACAUGCUUAUGUUGUUCCUGUUGUUGGCUAUUUUAAACGCAAACAGAAAAAUCCGCAAGCGCACGGAUACCGAUGUAGCUUUCACCCGGGAGUAUUCCAGAGUAUCGAUUUUCCACAGGGAACGUAAGUGUACUAAUUAAGAUUCAAGAUCGCCCAAGGAUAACUAUAUAAUUAUUGGGAAGAGAGGAAGAGAGUUCUCUAGUUGAUCUAAGAAUCAAGAAGAUUAUUUAUUUCAGGACAUCAGAACACUAACCACAGAAAGAGAUGAGAAGGGGGCUAGGAAGUUCUGACUACAAUCCUACAAACACCGAUCCGAACGAGGUGGAAUACGUCGACCGUUAGGGCUGUCACUACCCUAGGGUUACCACAACAAUCCGUAGGAUUGAGUGCAAUUCCAGGUAAUUGCAAGACUAAACACCACGUCUAAUCUAUUAAUUACUACUCUAGCGUUGCAAAGACUAGAGCACUUGAUGCAAGCAGGAAUCCAAUAACUUGAAUGUAAAUAAAAGUAAUUAAAGAACUCAGAAAUUAUGAAUUGAAGAACUUGGAGAACGAUGAAGAACGAACCAGUUGCUGCAAAAGUACAAUGUUGAGGAAGAUCCGACAGAUCCAACUCCUCCUCCGCUCUCCUCUUCUCUCUCCCUAUUUUCUAGAUUACAACUAGAACUAACUAGAACUAGAACUAGAUGAACUAGAACUAGAACUAGAUAAACUAGAGGGAUCCUCUCUACUUGGAUGAAUAAUUGAAACCUUAGCUUUGAUUCUGUAGAAGAGAUAUGCCUCCAGGGGCCAAGGGGGCCUGCUUACAUAGCCCCUCCAAAUGAAUAUGGGCCGUCGGAUCAAACCGACCUUAAUCACACGGUUAUUCUUGAAGAUUAGAGGCGGUGGAGCACGAUCCGCGAGACCUGCCCUGAUUGGUCACUAGGGCAGGGCGGGCGCCCAAGGGGGGAGGGCGGGCGCCUAGCCCCCGGGCCCGCUCGGCCUUCCGUUCGUUCCCGUGGCUUCUAGAGUCUUCUAGAUGAUAGAAAAUUGACGCACAUGUUAAUAUCUCUAUGUAAACCCGACGUGUGGGCCUUUCCUCCAUGUUUCCUGAUAACCCCCUGCAGAAAUAGACAAACACCAAAACUCGUGGAAUUCUGUCAGAUAAAACCCUAAUUUUGGAUGUUGGUUGCAUAUAGAUCCUUUUCCAUGAUUAGUUGACGGUUAAAUGUGAGCAUUAAGGACCGUCAACACCUGUCUCCCCCUUGAACCUAUUUGAUUUACUAGAUAUACUAAACAUUCAAUGGCAAC
Molecule: long non-coding RNA, 32455 nt
Filed under: Sorghum bicolor (sorghum)
Lineage: Eukaryota; Viridiplantae; Streptophyta; Magnoliopsida; Poales; Poaceae
Description: long non-coding RNA (SBIC_LNC017952)
Source: RNAcentral